AUUUUUUUUUGUUGAAUAUUACAUUUUUUUGCCUUCAAUAUCAUGUUUAAUCUUCUCACUGGGUAUUGAAUGAUUAAAUUAGCGUUAAAUGUGAUGAUGGAUCUAGAAUUCUUGUUAUUGUUUUGUAUGAUCUUGUGGGUUGGGCUGGGCCUAAAUUUUGCAUUGGUAUAAUUAGCUGCAUUCCUUGUAAGUUGGUUGAAAUUUGAAAAACCUUUGCUUUAUUUUUUAACAUCAUUUGAUUUUGACUGAACUCAUUAGUGAAAACUUUUACCUUUUGAUAUAACCUUCAAACGUCUAGACAACCCAAUACUGCUGCGCUAAAUCUGGUGAAAACUUUUGCCUUUUGAUGUAAGAGUAAAAUUGUGAUCAUGGUUUUCCAAGGAAGGGGUUAUCAGGUCCUUAAACUUUGUGUUUGCUGCUAAACUACUGAACUAUUAGUUCAAUGGUAUUUGCAUUUUUUUUUUUGACCCUUUUGCUUUAUGAGAGAAAAUUGCAUCAUUCAAGUUUUAAAGAAUGUUAUAGAUGUGUAAUUUGGUUAAUAUUUCAAUUAUCUGUAUAUAGGAGGUUCAGUUCAAUCCCUGAAUCGCCUUAUGUUCUUAAAAAAAAAAUUCCUAGUUUUUGAAAAAUAAAUUUGAAUAAAUUAUACUUUAGGAUGAUUCCAAAUAUUUGGACGGUAGCAAAUUUGGAGUUGGGACAAGUGCCAUUAAUGCCAUUGCAUUGCAUACAUCUCUACUCUAUCAUAUGGGGACAAAAAUGAGGAACGGAUUUAUUGGAACUCUCUAGUAAUUGGUCCAUAAAAUAAGACAAAAAUAUGACCAGAAAUUAAGCAUUUCACGAUGUAAAUCACUCGAGCUUAAAGGAGAGAAAAGGCGAUAAUAUUUACACAUUUUUGGCUUCUUGUUUGCUGCCCUUCUUUGCUGCUGAAUAUUUGAUGUCUCUGCUUGCUAUGGUGGAGGUUGCUUUGGAUUGUCGGUUUCUUUGUUUUGCUGCUGCCUAGUUUCCUUAGAAUUUUAGUCCCUGUUUAUUGGGUAUUGCUAGCUUAUUUCCUUUGUUUGGCUUCCAUUUUGUAAGCUGCUUGUUUGGUUGCUGCAUUUCAAGUCCUUUUGUUUGAUCAAUUGUCAACCUUUCAGGUGGUUUUUCCAUGUACUUGGUCCAUUUCUCUUAAUAAAAAUUAUUUUGCUUAUUAAAAAAAAAAAAAA
This 1199-nucleotide unclassified non-coding RNA is filed under the name Hevea brasiliensis (rubber tree). Lineage: Eukaryota; Viridiplantae; Streptophyta; Magnoliopsida; Malpighiales; Euphorbiaceae. The record is from RNAcentral.